Molecule: long non-coding RNA, 4564 nt
Organism: Cuculus canorus (common cuckoo)
Lineage: Eukaryota; Metazoa; Chordata; Aves; Cuculiformes; Cuculidae
Exons: 3
Source: RefSeq, a predicted model, not a curated record
UGUUACUUUUUCAUCAGCCUGUUUCCCCGACUUCUAGCAGGUUAAUUGACUCCAUUUGUGUGUCAAGGCCAGUCACGGCUUUUUUCUGUAAAUGACUCCUGUCUUGUCUGAUGACACAAUUAAAAUCUGAAUUGCUUCUAAACCAAAAAAAAAAAACCAACCCCAAACCCAGGGGAACUGAAACUUUUCCAAGCAGUGGAUGUUGUGGAAGGAUGGGAUCCUGCCUCAAUGGUUACGAGUUUUCAUUGCCACUUCCCUCUGGUUCGCUUCCUCUGCAGAAGGGGAUGGGGACCCGCAAGGAGUGCUUUCCGCUUAGAGGCACCAGCUCCACUCGGGAGAAGCAUUCCCUGCAGAGAGGAUUGGGGUGGGAGCCCCACCCUAGCACGGAAAUUCAAGGGGAGCCAAUUAAUUGUGUUUGAAUGCCAAACAGCAUCCUUGGGCCAGGGACAUGGGAUUUUACCUGAGGCCUGUUUGCAGAUGUCACAGGAGGAGCUGCUGCAAACCGCUUUAUAGAUGAAAUUGGAUUAAAGGAUCUGAGCAAACUAUGCAUGAUACUGUAUUUACAGCAUGUGUCAUCUGGAAAUAUUACAGCACCCAGCCUAUCCGUCUUCCUCCCCACCGGGGCACGUUUGUGCAGGAAAGCCAAGUUUAAUAAAAAAACUCCAUUUAGCUCUGUGGCCAAUGAAGCUUCAGUGGAAGCACAGGAGAGGGGGGAAAACACUGUUUUUCAAGGCUUGCUCCACAUUCAGAUGGGCCUCUGCGGUCCAAUGCCAGUUUUUAUUCAAUCUGGACUGAGUGCCGGAUAAAUGGAUCACAUUGAUCUAUUUAUUAUAAGAAAAAGAAGAACACAGAAAUAAGCUUGACUAAUGCCCAGUGAGUUGGGGAUUUAAAUAGCCUCUCCAACACAAGCAGCCAGUUAACCCUUCCCAGCAGGGGUCGUGUCAGGGCUCAGGGCAGCAUGAGGAACAGCCUGUCUCCUCCUGCUUGUGCUCCCACUGUCACUGCAGAUGAUGAACCAUGUGCCCUUUCCAGCCCAGGGGGUCCCUGCCUCGAGUGCCUCUCUGACACGGCAGCACAUCCCCAAAAAGGAUCCUGGUGAAUGGCCUGGGAGGACUCUGGGUUGUCUGUGGGCAGGGGCAGCUGUGCAGAGACAGAAAGAGCUGCAGCAUGAAGGCCGUGGGGAUGGGCUUGGAGGAGCAGGUGGCAGCGAGCCGCCUCUGAUGGGCUCAGCUGGAAGAUGUUUGCUGCAAAUGCCUUUGCCCUUUCCUCCUCAUUUUGCCUUUUCCAGGGUGGCUCUGCCAGCCUAUUUAGCAGCCAUGUGCUCCAUCCUCUCCCUGACUAUUCCUGCUGCCCUUGCCCUGGAUCCAAAGGUGUAAAUUCAGCCCCGAGGCGACGGCACUGCGACACCCGUGCUGGCUGCUGCAGCGAGGAUCACCGCAGCCGGGCAGCGGGCCGUGGUACGAUGCUGCCGCACCGUUUAUCUCCUCACAGCUGCAGCUGGGUUGUGCAGAGAAACAAAGCCAUUGGCCAUCUCGCCCUGCGGGAUGAGCCUGCCCGAAGGAUGUGGUCACGCUCUGGUAAGGAGAUGCAGGAUGCUGCCCGUUAAACCAUGGCUGUUCUUGGAGCUGGAGUGCGGCAGCGCCAGGGUGGGGUUAGUGUGAAGGACUGGCCUCGAUUAUUCUUUUCAGCAACACGAAGCGCUAGAAGGCUCCGCAGCUAGAGAUCAAUUUUCUCUGCUCUCACCGCAACUACUUUGUGCAAUGGGAAGUGGCUUUUUCCUCCCCCCUUCCCAUUGUGCUGAGACUUGGUGGGUGAUGCCAGGGAUGGAGGUGGCCGCCUUGCCAGUAGGAGGGCAACAGGGGACCCUGCAGAGCCACAGCCCGGCCACGCGCCAGCCCUUCCCUGGGGCGGUGCUGACGGAGGGUGCCAAAGCCUUUCGCGCAGCCAUUGAAGAGCAACUAAAUAGUGCCAGGAAAGAAAGCCCAGCUCAGCCAUCAGCAUCACUCGGCACAGCAUGGGGACUCUCAGCUGCUGCCUCUUCUUCUGCUGUGACAGCCCUUCUCGUUCGCUGCAAAGCUCUGGCUAAUGGAGGAGGAUUUUCUUUCUAGGGAACAUGCAAAAAUUUGUGUUGAGCAGGUGAAAUAUGCAAAGACCUCAUGUUUAAGUGACCAGAGACAUAGUGGUGGCACAAGAUAUGAAGACUAAACACAGAGGAAUUUGAACUGCUUCAGAACUAGGCAGUCAAGCUGGAAAAAACCCUCCAAAAUUAAGAGACUUGCAGAAUUCUAAGAGGAUGGGGACGAACUUGGCAUGGGAUUAAAUAUUGGGGAAAAGAUUAGAAAAGUGAAAACCAGGAGAUAAGAAAAGCCUGAGGAUGAAGUAGAUGGACCAGCUCAAGGAGAGCUGUCAGCCCAUGGACAAGGACUAGCCCAGGGAUGAGCCUCUGUACUUUUCCCCCAGCAUCUCCAGCCCAUACUCCCACAUUGCACCUGCCUCUGGGUCUGCCGUGGCACCAGGCAAAGGCGAGAGCACCCUCUCUCUGGCACCAGGAGAGGUGAGCUUACCUGGGGGCUGCUGAUGCUGACAUACACAUGGCUCCAUGUGCAGCAGACCACAGCUCUGCAUGUGUUGGGCUCUGUUUGUUUGUCCGUCUCUGCAAGGAUGGCGAGGUGGCUGGCUGCCUUGGAGGCCAGGAGGGAGCCCCAGCCCAAUCAGAGCCACGCUUGGUUUCACCAACCAUGGGUUUGAGCCUCUCCAGACAGCGCAAUUCAGGAAAUUCUUUGCAAGGCUGAAGUGCUGCUUUGCAACAACAAACCAUUCAGCAGCCCCUCGCUGCUGAAGGCAGAGAUUCAGUUGGGGUUUGGAUCGCUGGCUUUCAUCCACCAAAUGAACUCGAGCAAGUUCAUAAACUGCAGAACAAAAUGCUGAAGACCGUGGGCAAUUAGAGCAGAGACCUCUGGAGUCCUCCCCGGCAUGGAGAGCUCCAGCGAGGCUGUCAGCGGCCCCUGCUGUUUCUGAUCCUGGCUGGCAAAUAUUAAUUCUAUUUGUUUCAAGUUGAGAAAUUCGAUUGGAAUACUCUAAUUAAGCAGUUUCAGUGCUUUUCUCCUCCAAGGACCUUCCCCAGACAAGCACUUUAACUCCUUGGGUCCCAUGGUGGGCUCCUGGACGAGACACGCUCUGAAGUCAGCAGGUUCAGCUCCCUUGAUGGCAACGAUGGAUGCCACACAUUAUCCAUGCUGAAGCUCCUGAGGUGUCGUGAAGCCCUUUGCGGGUGCCUGGAUUGCCUCCAAGUGGCCAGGAGUCAUUUCUCGGGGAGCUGACAGGUUCUGGCAUGGAGGACAAGCAGAUUUGCACCGUCGGCUUCCCUUGCCAGGAAGGCUGAUAAAGUGUCUCAUAAUGAGCUCGCCGUGUUCUUGCUUCGCAGACAGUUUUGUCAGCUUUUUGCAAAUGCAGUCUGGGGAGAAGCCUGGCUGGCUGUUGCUCACAGCUCUGCCAAUGCACUUGUCUGGAAAGCGUUUUCUUCCAGCCUCAGGUUAAACCAGAAGCAUCUCGGCCCCUGAUCUGCCUCCAGCCUCAUGAAGAGCCACAUGGGGACAUGUUCCUGGCACGUGGGCUCUCCAGUGGCAUCGCUGUGUGUACACAUCCUCAGCUGUGCCUGGAGAAAAGCAACAGGUGGGAAGCGAAUGCCGUUAAUGGAUGAGCAAGGCCAUGCCAUGCAGAUGGGCCAUCCCACAGCAGCUGGGGACACUGAUAUCGGCCACCUGAGAUACAUAGCUCUGAUAUGCCAUGAGUGCUGCCAGGAACCGGUUUCACUGUGUUAGUGCACUUUGUCCCAGGCAGGAGCGAUGAUCCGGGUUGCCCUAGGAAAGAGGUACCAGUGUUUCAGCAGAUACAUCCCCGUAGCGCUGAGCCAAGGCACCCAGAUCCUGCUGGCAAAGCAAGGUGCUCAGCUGUCUCGGUGACACCGCCCGCCCAGGGCUGGACAAGAGGCUGCGCAGCGGUUGUAAUGAUCUGAGAUCAUCCUGCACUGGACGGGAGCACAACCUGGCAGCUCCCGCCCGGGGAUUCAGCACACUUUAAUGAGCUCAGCCCUGGAGUCUGAACGGAGGAAUUAACGAUUCAGGAUAAUACUUGUCACUUUGCUACAAGGAAAUAGUCGAGUGAAAAGUAAUUUAUUAAAAAGAAGAAAGAAAUGGUUUUGCUUAUUAAGAUCAACAUCAUAUUAAAGUAUUUUCUCAAUACGCCAUUUGGGCUGAAUUUUACAUUUUAUCUCUCUCUUUCCCUGCAAAGGGAAUAAGCAGAGACUUUCACUCUAAUUAAUUGUUAGCUGCUUCACUUUGCUAGUGCAUUUCAUGCACAAGAUUGCACAUUUCAGUGGCAUUUGAAUUGCAAAUACUGCAGGAAUAUAAUAAAAAAGGAAAACCCGUGGAAUUUUGAAAGUGAAUGGGAAUUCUUCUGUUAGAAAUCAGUUUAAAAUUGCUUUAUUUUCACAAAUCUUAAAAAUUUAUCUUGACAGUGUACUAACUUUCCCUCCUCCUUUCUUUUCACUUGGGGUUUAAGGCAA